RNAcentral lists this ribosomal RNA (139 nucleotides) under uncultured eukaryote. RNAcentral describes it as "partial 18S ribosomal RNA". It matches the Rfam family "Eukaryotic small subunit ribosomal RNA", at positions 1299 to 1458 of the family's 1831-position model. The record is from RNAcentral.
UGGUGGAGUGAUUUGUCUGGUUAGUUCCGUUAACGAACGAGACCUUAACCUGCUAAAUAGCUACGCGUAGCUUCGGUUACGUGGCAACUUCUUAGAGGGACGUUGCGUGUCUAACGCAAGGAAGUUUGAGGCAAUAACA